UACGUAGGUGGCAAGCGUUGUCCGGAUUUACUGGGCGUAAGAGCGCGCAGGCGGUCGGAUAAGUCGAAUGUGAAAGCCCCCGGCCCAACUGGGGAGGGUCAUUCGAUACUGUUCGACUCGAAGGCAGGAGAGGGAAGUGGAAUUCCCGGUGUAGUGGUGAAAUGCGUAGAUAUCGGGAGGAACACCAGUGGCGAAGGCGACUUCCUGGCCUGUUCUUGACGCUGAGGCGCGAAAGCUAGGGGAGCAAACGGG
RNAcentral lists this ribosomal RNA (252 nucleotides) under uncultured bacterium. RNAcentral's name for it is "partial 16S ribosomal RNA". It matches the Rfam family "Bacterial small subunit ribosomal RNA", at positions 524 to 776 of the family's 1533-position model. The record is from RNAcentral.